AGCAGCCGCGGUAAUUCCAGCUCCAAUAGCGUAUAUUAAAGUUGUUGCAGUUAAAAAGCUCGUAGUUGAAUUUCGGGGUCAAUAGGUUGGUCGUGCCAAUGGUAUGUACUGGCUUUAUUGAUUCCUACCUCUUGACGAACUGUGAUGCCAUUAAUUUGGUGUUGUAGGAAAUCAGGACUGUUACCUUGAAAAAAUUAGAGUGUUUAAAGCAGGCUUACGCUUGAAUACAUUAGCAUGGAAUAAUGAAAUAGGACGUUUGAACCUAUUUUGUUGGUUUCUAGGAUCGACGUAAUGAUUAAUAGGGAUAGUUGGGGGCAUUAGUAUUCAAUUGUCAGAGGUGAAAUUCUUGGAUUUAUUGAAGACUAACUACUGCGAAAGCAUUUGCCAAGGAUGUUUUCAUUAAUCAAGAACGAAAGUUAGGGGAUCGAAGACGAUCAGAUACCGUCGUAGUCUUAACCAUAAACUAUGCCGACUAGGGAUCGGAUGAUGUUAAUUUUUAAUGACUCAUUCGGCGCCUUAA
Molecule: ribosomal RNA, 520 nt
Filed under: uncultured Glomus
Lineage: Eukaryota; Fungi; Glomeromycota; Glomeromycetes; Glomerales; Glomeraceae
Description: SSU rRNA
Rfam family: Eukaryotic small subunit ribosomal RNA
Source: RNAcentral